Molecule: long non-coding RNA, 797 nt
Organism: Adelges cooleyi (spruce gall adelgid)
Lineage: Eukaryota; Metazoa; Arthropoda; Insecta; Hemiptera; Adelgidae
Exons: 3
Source: RefSeq, a predicted model, not a curated record
GUGGAAAAACUAAAGUUGUCAAAAAGAAAACUACAAAAAGUAAAAACUCAAAAAAAAAGAAUUCACCAUCCUCAAAGAGAAAAAAUGUUAAAUCUAAGAAAAGUAAAGUGUCAACGAAAAAAAAAACUACCAAGUCUAAGAAAAAAUCAAACAGCGUAAAGUCGACCAAAGGAAAAUCCAACAAGACUAAAAAAGUAAAAAAGAAGAGAAGCUCCAUUAGAAAAAAAUCGAAAAACAAUAAAAUAGGUUCAAAGGGUCAAAAGAAAAAAACUAACAAAAACGUGGUAAAAAAAAAAAAAGUCACAUACUAUGUCGAUGAAGAUGUAUCAUCGCCAUAUAGCAAAGGAAAUACUUAUGCUCUCAGUGGGAAAAACGGGAUUACGCGUUACGUGGUAAGAGAGGCUCCUAAGACGGAAAUACCGAAAUAUGUAAUAAAAAAACCAACUUGCAUCGAAUGUGAGAAGAAAUCGCAUCAUCAUAAAUGCAGUCAUGCUAAAAAUAAACAUCGCAAUAAGCCGGAUGAUCCAGUUUACAUGAAUUAUGGAUAUGGCUACAGUUAUUGGUGAUCAAACAGGUGACAGAAACGCCACGCCACAGAAAGACGGUUAAAAAGUGUUUCAAUAACAUGUUAUUAGUAUAAUAUUUAGAUAGUAAAUAUUAUUAGCACAGUUUUUGGAAAGAUGUAGUACAUACCAGUAGCUAAAUUAGUAUUAAUUAUUAGUAUACGGAUCAAUACUGAAAAGUGUAACAUAUUUAAAUAAAAUGCCGAUAAGGUGAUAACAUAUUAUGUCUACAAA